This is a long non-coding RNA of Gallus gallus (chicken), 347 nucleotides long. Lineage: Eukaryota; Metazoa; Chordata; Aves; Galliformes; Phasianidae. The record is from Ensembl.
CUGCUAUUAAGAACAUCUAUAGCUAUAACAGCCGCAGCCGUGAAAACUAAUCACCGUAUUUUCACUGUAAAGUGCAACAGAGGAAUUAAGAAACAGAUGCGCAUUAAAAAGGAAAAAGGAGAAACAGAAGUUGUUAAACCAUCUCAAUUGCACUGCAGGGAAGCUUGCAGCAGAGGUAGGAAGAAAUGGAGAAUUCAAUUCCAGGUUGCAGGACCUUUGAGGAUCCACCGCAGAUUUAUUCCCUGUAUUUACAAUGCCAGAAAGAUGUUUCCAGUUUAAUGCAAACAUACAAGUUCUGCUGACUGGGGAGGGGGCUUAAGGCAUGACCAAGGAAAGACACAAACCUG